Non-coding RNA from Vicugna pacos (alpaca), 3024 nucleotides. The record is from RefSeq and is a predicted model, not a curated record. Lineage: Eukaryota; Metazoa; Chordata; Mammalia; Artiodactyla; Camelidae.
UCAGCUCCUUGAUCGCCCAUCCCGUGGCUUCUUUGAGUAAUGUCCUUCUGUCCCGCAGUAGAAGAUGGACUGUUCAGCUCCACACACAACGGCAGACUCCACUUCCACAUACGCCUGAGGCCCAGACUCCAGCAGGCCCCGCUCCACACAUCUGGUUAUGAGCCAGAGGCCCUGCCCGCGCCCAAGCUCCCCACUGCAGAGGAGGGAUGGAGAGCUGCCCUGAAUGACACCCCGCCCCAAGCAGCUCUCUGACAGGCCCGGCCCCGAGAAGCAGUGUGGAAAGCCAGAUGACAACAACCAAAGGGUCCUGGGGAAAUGCUGACCAGCCCAGACCCAGGAUCACACCCAAAGCCGACAGAGCGCAGCCCUGGUGCCACCCGUGCUUCGUGGGAACCCUGGACUCCGCACGUGGUCACAGUGCUAGCCACCCUGUCCUUGGACUCUUUAGUCAGGAGAAAUAGACAAAAGGGCAGACUUUACUGGGACUCACGCUCCAGCAGGAGGAAGUGAGAACAAGGAACAGGUGUACUUGUGAAGGGGCAAAAGCCACAAAGGGACCAGCAACACCUCCCGGUCAGGGCCAUUGCCUUCCCGCUUUUGCACUUCUGAAAAAUGGCUUGCUUCUAGGAAAACGAAACUUACCCCUAAAAUUCCAUUGGUUCCCAAAAGCUCACUCCUGACUGGUCCAUUUCUAACACCUCAUUUGCAUACGGUGCAAACUUAAUAGAAACCUAAAGCCCUAUAAAAACCUGUGUAAACAUACAGGCAGGUUCCAGAGCUUGAAGUGUUAACUCCUCUGUGCCCGCCGGUGCAAUAAACCUGCGUUCCCCAACCCUCCGAGUGUCGAGUGUCGCCUGGCCUCUCAGUUUCUGCAGCGCUUGCUCGCUUCCCAGGUGUGCUGCUCCCUGAACCGAGAAAGUGGCGGCGGGGGCGGGGGGGCUGGGUCUGUGCGUGUGUGGCUUAGGUGGUGCGCCCACCCCCUUGGCCGCGCUGUGUGCCGGGACCACGUGCAGGAUCUUGCUUUUGCCCCUGCCCCACCCCACCCCCACACUGAAGUGGCAGUUGGUUUGUGACUUUUUCUAUCUUCUUGUUCCUAAUUGCUCCAACUGCUCAUGCAAGCAGUUAUCUUCAGUCCCUUAGAGUUUCUUUGUAUUUUGUUGCUGGAGGAGCCAUUUGUCCAGGUGCGAGCCCUACAGCCCAGGGUCCCAGGUCCCAGCCUGCCUCAAAAGCAGGUUUGCAACCGCAGGGCACUCUUUGGCUCAGCCCGGGGAGCCCGCCCCUGAGGUGGGGUCCUGGGCACUAACCACAUGCACUGCUGCCCUUGCUCCUAUGUGCUCGCUCCCUCCAGCUUGCUUGGACUGGCAGCUGGGAGGGAAACAUCACUGCAGUUACAGCGUCCCAAGUAUCGGGGCACAAAGUAAGCCCCCUGCAGAUCAAACACCUCGUGGGACGCGUGGCAACAGAAAAUUACGGAUGGCAGAGUCCGUAUCACAAACAGCUUUCCAAGGUGACAGUUCUGCCGGUUCAGACGCAGCUUGAUUUCGAUGGGCAGGUCAACUUGCUUUUUUUAGAGAAUGCCCCUCUACACAGACACAGGCCGUGUUCUGUAGGAAAAAGACCAGUAAACUCUCCUCUAGCUCUUCCAGAAGACCUGUAUUUAUUCCAACACAGUGGCCCCAAAGUCCCCAGUCCGGGUUUGGAGUGAAUUCUGAUGAGAGACACCAGCACGUGUUGCUGUUCCAGGUGCGGAAAAAUCUCUUCUUAGCGUCCGUUCUGAGCACUAGAGACAAACCCAUGCAGCUGAGUGAGAGAGGAGGACUGGCGAGUGGUAAGUGCGUGGACUGAACCAGCGCACCGCAGGCUCCCCUCAGGUCUGGGGGCUCACUUUGCUCCAGGGGCCCUGUGUCCUUGCUGCCUUCUAGUCCUCAUCGCUUCACCCCAGUGCUCCCCGCACACCUUCCUCACAACACCCCAUAUCGUAGCUCUUUCCCAAACUUUCUUUCCAUCAAAAUGUCCCCAUCCUUCACCCACCCCUGGUGGGGAGUGUUGCCUGCCAGGAUAACUAAUCAGGUCAACACACUCAUGAGCCGGGACCUUAACUCGACCUCCCUAAAAUGUAAAUAACGUGUGAAUGUCAAAGCUUUUUUAUAGCAAGGUCAUUUUGGUGAACUUUUUUCCUGAGGGAUGCUUUUCUGAACCCCACAAAUUAUUCCUCCUCGUCAGAUUAGGCCUCUGGUUCAACAGUGUCUUUAUCCAUAAAAAACAAAAUAAAUGAUUUAGUUGCGAUUAUCGGGCUUAUAGGCUAGGUUACAGGUUGUGGAAACCAGCCUUAGGUACCAGAGGACUCUCCUGGGGAAGAGCAAUAAAACACUUCACGUCUGAUCUGUAAUAUCCCGUGUUCCUGCUAGUCCUGCGGUGAACAAAACUGCCACUUCUGCCAAGUUUCAUGGUCAGUGAUUCUAUGAUAUGGAAAAAAGGUCCAGUAUGGAUUAAAAUGAAAUCCUCACAGGCCCCACACUGACAACCUAGGACAGACUUGAACCAUCUCUCCUAAAAGUACAUUCAUUACUCAAACCACUUCACCAUGGAGUCCACAAUGUAAAGCAGUAUAAAAGAAUCUGGGGGUGCAUUUAUAUAAAGACGUGCACAGGAUAUGCAAAUCCUCAGUAUUGUUCUUCCUGGAUACCAUGUACUAUCUCAGGGUUCCCUGAUUUCAAUAUUCAAGUGUUCAUUGUUGACAAGAUAGAAUUUAUGCUGUUGGUUCCACUACAAGACACUAUUACUGUAUGAGACACUGUUGGACCUGCUCGAUGCACACAUUUCAAUUUGAAAGGAAAAAAAACGUUUAUAUUUGGAUUUGGAAUAUGAUGUUACCCUGGAAUUUAAACUUCAUUGUGUCUUAUAUUCUAGGAAAUGACUUCUAACAAAAUAACCAAAUCACACCUCAUGAGGAUCUGCUCCAAAACAAUCGAGGAGUGUUUCCUGGUCUUGUUUCUUUUUUUUUUUUUAAUUGUAUUUUUACUG